AGGCCCGUGGCUCAACUGGUAGAGCAUCGGUCUCCAAAACCGGCGGUUGGGGGUUCAAGUCCCUCCGGGCCUGCCA
This 76-nucleotide transfer RNA is filed under the name bacterium. Its description in RNAcentral is "tRNA-Trp". It matches the Rfam family "tRNA". From Rfam's summary of the family: Transfer RNA (tRNA) molecules are approximately 80 nucleotides in length. Their secondary structure includes four short double-helical elements and three loops (D, anti-codon, and T loops). RNAcentral also lists the same sequence under 2 other names. The record is from RNAcentral.